CCCUCCACUCUCGGAAGCGAGCGUGCUAACAAGCGUUGCGUUGCCGCUGACAAGUCACUCUCCGUAGUGGCCGUCACGUCAAAGUCGCUGUUGGUCUGUAUAUGCCUCGCCGAGGGAAGCAGGUGGCUAGCGGCGAGUAGGUCGGUCACCCACCCGACCCGUCUUGAAACACGGACCAAGGAGUCUAACAUGUGCGCGAGUCAUUGGGUCUUGAUUAGGCCCAGAGGCGCAAUGAAAGUGAAGGUCGGCGCAUGCCGUCCGUGUUGGGAUUCUCUGCUUCGGCAGAGACGCACCAUCGACCCGUUCUAUCCGAUUCAUCGGUUGGGCGGAGUCUGAGCGUACACGUUGGGACCCGAAAGAUGGUGAACUAUGCCUGGGCAGGACGAAGCCAGAGGAAACUCUGGUGGAGGUCCGUAGCGGUUCUGACGUGCAAAUCGAUCGUCAGAC
RNAcentral lists this ribosomal RNA (447 nucleotides) under Caponia sp. 2 NCP-2017. RNAcentral describes it as "eukaryotic LSU rRNA". It matches the Rfam family "Eukaryotic large subunit ribosomal RNA", at positions 491 to 910 of the family's 3401-position model. The record is from RNAcentral. Lineage: Eukaryota; Metazoa; Arthropoda; Arachnida; Araneae; Caponiidae.